GGGGUGGGCGGCGGGGCGGGUCCAGCCGGGCAGGGGCCUGCGCCGGACCUGGCAAGGGGUGUUGGCGGCACCAGCGACGAGAGAAGCUCGAAGUGGGAGGCGCUGCUAGGGCGUCAGCGCGAGCAAUUAGGAUGUGGCAAGCGCGAUGACAAGGGGAUGCACGGGCAAAGAUGCCGACACAGGGGAGAGGAGCGCAGGGUAUCCAUGCCGGGGAAGAGGUGGCCGGCACUGGUGAGGACGGUGGCGCGCGCAGGCCGCGCAGGAAGGCCGGGUGGCGCUGCGCGUGGGAGCGGCGGUGAGCAGGAAGCGCAG
This 312-nucleotide unclassified non-coding RNA is filed under the name Zea mays. Its description in RNAcentral is "misc RNA Zm00001eb177400". Lineage: Eukaryota; Viridiplantae; Streptophyta; Magnoliopsida; Poales; Poaceae. The record is from RNAcentral.